AGGACGAACGCUGGCGGCGUGCUUAACACAUGCAAGUCGAACGAGGUCCAACCUUCGGGUGAAGACCUAGUGGCGAACGGGUGCGUAACACGUGAGGAACUUGUCCCGGUCUCUGGGAUAACAGUUGGAAACGACUGCUAAUACCGGAUGACGUCGGAGCGUCGCAUGGCGCGCUGACGAAAGGGUUACUGGAUCGGGAGAGCCUCGCGGCCUAUCAGCUUGUUGGUGGGGUAACGCCUACCAAGGCAUCGACGGGUAGCUGGUCUGAGAGGAUGAUCAGCCACACUGGGACUGAGACACGGCCCAGACUCCUACGGGAGGCAGCAGUGGGGAAUCGUUGCGCAAUGGGCGAAAGCCUGACGCAGCAACGCCGCGUGCGGGAAGAAGGCUCUCGGGUUGUAAACCGCUUUCAGAAGGAACGAAACUGACGGUACUUCAGAAGAAGGUGCGGCCAACUACGCGCCAGCAGCCGC
This 473-nucleotide ribosomal RNA is filed under the name uncultured bacterium. Its description in RNAcentral is "SSU rRNA". It matches the Rfam family "Bacterial small subunit ribosomal RNA", at positions 26 to 518 of the family's 1533-position model. The record is from RNAcentral.